Molecule: RNA transcript, 2998 nt
Organism: Hypomesus transpacificus
Lineage: Eukaryota; Metazoa; Chordata; Actinopteri; Osmeriformes; Osmeridae
Gene: rcbtb2
Gene name: regulator of chromosome condensation (RCC1) and BTB (POZ) domain containing protein 2
Exons: 12
Source: RefSeq, a predicted model, not a curated record
CAUCUCGUACAGUCUGGUAUGUCAGCGACCUAGCUGGCCUAGCUAGCGUGUGCUAGAGCCAUUGGCGUAGCUAGCUAUCCGAAUUCUCUGAGAGGAUGGCUACUGUAGGACGUUGUCGCCUCCAUUCUUAAAAAAAUUACUACUUUUUUGAUUCUGCUCAUUCUGCUCACCUGAUUUGACAUGUUAAGGAAUUGUUCUCAGUCACCCCCGCAACGGCAUCGUUCACGAUAAACAUUUACAGGCCGGUAUGCUGGACGUGGGGAAGUGGCCAGUGUUUGCACUCCUGCCUCCUGAAGAACUUCGUCUCAUUCGCCAGGCUUGUGUUUUUGGUAGUGCUGCAAAUGAAGCGCUAUAUGUAACUGUUAAUGAUGAGGUAUUUGCUCUGGGCACCAACUGCAGUGGUUGUUUGGGACUUGGAGACCUGCAGAGUACUAUUGAACCUCGUAGGAUUGACAUCCUCUGUGGAAAGAAGAUUGUUUCAUUAAGCUAUGGCACGGGACCACAUUUGGUUAUCGCCACAGCUGAUGGAGAGGUUUAUGCUUGGGGCCAUAAUGGCUACAGCCAACUGGGAAAUGGGACCACCAACCAUGGACUAACCCCAGCUCUGGUCUCCACUAACCUGCUCAGCAAAAGAGUGACUGAGGUCGCCUGUGGCUCCCACCAUACCAUUGCUCUCACCACUGAGGGAGAGGUGUUUGCAUGGGGGUACAACAACUCGGGCCAAGUUGGCUCGGGCUCCACAGCUAACCAGCCUACUCCAAGACGGGUCAGCAGCUGUCUGCAGAACAAAGUGGUUGUCAACAUAGCCUGUGGCCAACUCUGCUCCAUGGCUGUGCUGGACAAUGGGGAGACCUACGGUUGGGGAUAUAAUUGUAACGGGCAGCUUGGCCUGGGCAACAACGGGAACCAGCAGACUCCCUGCAGGAUUGCUGCCAUUCAGGGUGUUAACAUUGUGCAGGUUUCCUGUGGAUAUGCACAUACAUUGGCCCUUACAGAUGAGGGACUUGUUUACGCCUGGGGGGCAAACUCUUAUGGGCAGCUGGGAACAGGCAACAAGAGUAACCAAUCCCUGCCUACACUCAUUAACAUGGACAAGGAGAGGAUGGUAGAAGUAGCAGCCUGUCACACAAGCCACACGUCUGCAGCUAAGACCCAGAGUGGUCAGGUCUUUAUGUGGGGUCAGUGUCGGGGACAAGCUGUAGCCUGUCCCCACCUUACCCACUUUGGCACAACAGAUGAUGUGUUUGCCUGCUUUGCUACGCCAGCUGUCACGUGGCACCUCCUUACUGUAGAUGGUGAUGACUAUCUAACGGUUGCACAAUCCUUGAAAAGGGAGUUUGACAGCCCAGAUAUCUCCGACUUAAAAUUCUUGGUUGAUGGAAAAUGCAUCCAUGUUCACAAAGCCCUCCUAAAAAUCAGAUGUGAGCAUUUCCGUGCCCUGCUGAAUGAGACAGAUGAGGAGUCCAUCGAGAUCCACCAGUUCUCCUACUUGGUGUACCGCGCCUUCCUAGAGUAUCUUUACACUGACACUAUCAACCUGCCACCAGAGGAUGCCAUAGGUCAGCCCGACAAGGGGGUUGCUGGACCUAGCCACAUACUACCGUGAAACCAGGCUAAAAAGACUCUGUCAGGAGACAAUAAAGAGAGGGAUCUCAGAGGAAAAUGCUAUAACCCUGUUCUCUGCUGCUGUAAAGUAUGAGGCCCGGGAGCUGGAGGAGUUUUGCUUCAAGUUCUGCGUCAACCACCUGACUGCUGUUACACAGACCGAGGCCUUUGCUGACAUGGACCAUGACCUUUUAAAGAACUUCAUCAGCAAAGCCAGCCGCUACGGGGCCUUCAAAAAUUGACUGCAUUGGAAUGGGCUUUAAGAUAAGAGAUGGAAGGUGAGUGGUCAGAACUUCAUUGAGAAACAUAAAAGCUAACCUGGUCAAAUUCUGUUCUUUUGCUGUUAACAUACCCUUACCUACCAAUCUGAAUGACCUAGCGAUAUAGUGACACCUCAAGCGAAAAACGGAGACCAAACAGGGAAACUACUGAGACUAUGGCAAAAUAGACACAACAGCAACCCCCACCUAUCUGCCAGUAUUGUCCUGUUGAACACCUGUGUGUGCGUGUGCGCGAGGAUACAUUUGUAUAUGAGAGGUCCCAAUUGGAACUCUGCAGUGCAAAGGUGUUUCAAAUGGAGGUCUCAUGUUCAAUUCAAAUUGGAAAAAAAAUGUUAAUCCCAGAUUCCAUAUCAGGGAGAGGAGUGUUCCAUAUUUGCCUAGAUAUCAGCAAUGAUGAAAAGGACAAACAUUUAACUUUUUGACCAAUCAGAAGUAUAAGGGAGUUUCUCCAGGCAUGGCAUGAGUUGCCCCUUCUCAUUGUCCUUAAAGCCUUUCCUAAAAUACGUUUUGUUUUACUGGUAGAUAACUUCGUAAUUCACAAUAAAUUAAAAGUAUUCAAAUUUCUACUUGAAACAUAAACAUUUUGGUUAGAACUUUUUUACUGACUGUUUUACAUGACCCAUAUUAAUUGUUAUUUUAGUUAUUUACAGUGGUCAAAUGUUACUGAGUGUUAUAGAAUACCUUUAUGCUUUUGUUAUCCAACAUUGGUUUUACUGUCAUCAUAUUGAGUAGCAUUUACCUGUGUAGAUGUGUAACUGUGUGUGCAGCUGGAAGCUUAUCUCUUGCUUUUAAAGGAAAGAUGACAGAUUAUCCCAUUUGCUGUAAUUAAUUUCCUGUUGCUGUCACCACAUAGUAGAACAAUAGUUUCAUAAUGCUGCAGGUGGUGUUACUUGCAGAUGUAGCAUGUUUACAGAUGUCAUCAUUUAACGUUUGUCAUUUCAAGAAUAUGCCUCUUGUGUGUACAUUUUCCCAAACCUCGCAUCAAUGAGAGCACUACUAAUAGACCAGUGCAAUAGCCAACUUCAAAUGGAGACUUCUGUGUUGAGCAACCAAUAAUUUAUUACAUUUUCUAUAAAAAUGCUUGUAAUCCAUUAAAGAUGAUGAUACAGAAA